Molecule: ribosomal RNA, 573 nt
Filed under: Klebsiella quasipneumoniae subsp. similipneumoniae
Lineage: Bacteria; Pseudomonadati; Pseudomonadota; Gammaproteobacteria; Enterobacterales; Enterobacteriaceae
Description: bacterial SSU rRNA
Rfam family: Bacterial small subunit ribosomal RNA
Source: RNAcentral
ACGCGUUAAAUCGACCGCCUGGGGAGUACGGCCGCAAGGUUAAAACUCAAAUGAAUUGACGGGGGCCCGCACAAGCGGUGGAGCAUGUGGUUUAAUUCGAUGCAACGCGAAGAACCUUACCUGGUCUUGACAUCCACAGAACUUGCCAGAGAUGGCUUGGUGCCUUCGGGAACUGUGAGACAGGUGCUGCAUGGCUGUCGUCAGCUCGUGUUGUGAAAUGUUGGGUUAAGUCCCGCAACGAGCGCAACCCUUAUCCUUUGUUGCCAGCGGUUAGGCCGGGAACUCAAAGGAGACUGCCAGUGAUAAACUGGAGGAAGGUGGGGAUGACGUCAAGUCAUCAUGGCCCUUACGACCAGGGCUACACACGUGCUACAAUGGCGCAUACAAAGAGAAGCGACCUCGCGAGAGCAAGCGGACCUCAUAAAGUGCGUCGUAGUCCGGAUUGGAGUCUGCAACUCGACUCCAUGAAGUCGGAAUCGCUAGUAAUCGUAGAUCAGAAUGCUACGGUGAAUACGUUCCCGGGCCUUGUACACACCGCCCGUCACACCAUGGGAGUGGGUUGCAAAAGAAGUA